Long non-coding RNA from Monodelphis domestica (gray short-tailed opossum), 2076 nucleotides. RefSeq lists it as uncharacterized. The record is from RefSeq and is a predicted model, not a curated record. Lineage: Eukaryota; Metazoa; Chordata; Mammalia; Didelphimorphia; Didelphidae.
UAAGGGGACCAAGAAGGAAGGUCUAAAAGAUGGAUGCUGCGGGAAGGUAGGGAAGCAAGGUAAGAAGUUCGGUGUUCCCCUCCGGCACACUGCCGGCCUGCAAGGGCAGACACAUGGGCUGCGACUCACAGAAUCGGGCCCUUUGGCCAAUGGUCGCUGUCCUGCCAACGAGACCAGAGAGAGCUUGUGUUGGCUAUAUAGGAGUGUUUUCUCUAAAGUAUUUGCCAUGAACGGAUGAGCGCAAGCCCAAUACUCGGGCCGCCUUUCUGAAAUGGCUGUGACGGCUGGGGGCUCUUGCCUCUUCCUUAUGGGCUCCUUAGCCAGCGUGAAGGUAGUCCAGUCCCUGGCCCUGCUCCCCUCUCCUCAGGCAGCCUCUUGGGCCCUGCUGGAUGCAAGUCCUGGACGGCAGAAGUCAGACACCACCGAGCUUGGGUUAUCUGCGGGACUUUGUUUCCCAGGAGCCCGGGGCGGUCUGCAAGAAGACCCUCCGCCAGUGCCAAAGAGUAGCGUUCUGCUGCUGCCGAGAGGUCGGUCUCCGAAGAGAUCGCUACCGUGAAAAAAAUAGAAUGAACUUCCCGGUGAGGUAGUGAGGGGUCAAGCAGGAGCUCUGGGAGACGGUGGUUUAUCAGCUGCGUGUUUUCACGUUUGGAGGAACAGAUCGUUACUGUGACUGCCUAAAGGCAGAAGGAACCCGGGGCCAAACUCCGGUACACUGUAUCAGUAGCAGCCGGUGAGCUACAUUUCCAGAGUGGAGGGGCUGCGCCUGCUCGCAGGGAAUUAUGGGACAAGUCGUAGCAAGAGAGGAAAAUGCUCUUGUGGCACCAGUCGCUCCUCCUCGGUCUAACGUUAGAGCUACAUGGAAAUAAAAGGGAGACAACCUAUUGGUGUAGCUGGGGAUGUCUGAAGCCUGGAGGAGACUGAGGGGAAAUAGAAUCAUGGAAAGGCACAGAGGAUAGAGCGCCGGACCUAGAGUCAGAAAGACAAGUUCAAAUCCAGCCUCGGAAAUGUCCUAGCUGGGUGACUUGGGAAGACAGAACCAAAAUGGCAGCAGUUAGAGGAGGCGGAUUUGGACUCCAUAUAAUGAAGAACUUCUUAACAAUGAGAACAAUGAAGAUGCUUAGUCUAACAAAAUCAGGCAAUGUCUGUAACCAUGCUUGAAGAUUGAAUGUUUAGGAGGAUGGCCUUUGAUAGAGAAAUUGACAAAUCAGAAACAGCUGACAGACCCCUGGGCUGUCCUAAGUCAAGCUUAGGCUACAAUUGGUACAGAGGAGACGCAGGAAAGGGAGGUAGAAUCGUCUAGGGAUUUUUCUGCAUCACUUCCUCUCCUCUGUCUCUUUUUCCUUGGAGAUGUGGCUCUGGCUGGCAGCGUGCUGUGUCCUGACAUCUUGGGCGUGGUGGCAGCUAAUUGUCUGGGUUUUGGUGGUGAGUUUGCCCUUGAGCUAAUUCAGGUUCAGGCAUCUUGGCUGAGCCCUCUUGGAGUUCAGGCUGGUUCCUUCCUCCUUUACUCUCCAAAACCUUAUCUUCCUAAAGCCUCUAAUCUUUACCCCCACCCCCACCCCAGGCACAAGCCAGGCGGGAGAAAUCCUACAACCUUUCCUUCUCCCUUCUUCUUAAUUUCUUUCCACUAUGUUAAUUAAAUCACCAUAAAAUUCCAGCUGUCUUGGGUAUUUUAUUUGGGAUAUCCCAUGGCGACAAAUAGCUAAUAUAGUUUAGGUCACAAUGUUAAAUUUAUCCUUUACAGUUUUGGCUGACCACAUCGGUUGUGAUGAAAUACCCUCAAUCUUAACUUUCCUAAACCUUUUCUCUAUUGUGCCUAUCCCUAAGUUCAACUUUUAAUAGCUUAUUUGGAUCAGCUGUAGAGGUAAGUAAAUUUGGAUUUUUUUCCCUCUCUCCUUAAAUUAGAUAGAAUACGACUGUUUUUCUUUUUUUUUUAAAUCCAAAGCGCAGGACUGGGAAAGCUGUUUAGCUAUGAAUCCCCUUUCCCUCAGGGAACAACUGCCUGGAUUACUCUUAAUUAGGAGUGAGGGAGACCUAAAGAGAGUUUUGGCCUUGCCCUGCUCCCCAUGUGUUUUGUGA